RNAcentral lists this ribosomal RNA (876 nucleotides) under uncultured bacterium. Its description in RNAcentral is "bacterial SSU rRNA". It matches the Rfam family "Bacterial small subunit ribosomal RNA", at positions 528 to 1398 of the family's 1533-position model. The record is from RNAcentral.
GAGGUGGCUAGCGUUGUUCGGAUUUACUGGGUGUAAAGGGCAUGUAGGUGGCUGGGAAAGUCCCAAUCGAAAUCCUUCGGCUCAACCGAAGAACGGGUUGGGAAACUGUCUGGCUUGAGGUUAGGAGAGGAGAACGGAAUUCCCGGUGUAAAGGUGAAAUUUGUAGAGAUCGGGAGGAACACCCGUGGCGAAGGCGGUUCUCUGGCCUAAAACUGACACUGAAAUGCGAAAGCUAGGGGAUUAACAGGAUUAGAUACCCUGGUAGUCCUAGCUGUAAACGAUGUGCACUAGGUGUACUCCGUUUAUCGGAGUGUGCCGCAGUUAACACGUUAAGUGCACCACCUGGGGACUACGGCCGCAAGGUUAAAACUCAAAGGAAUUGACGGGGACCCGCACAAGCGGUGGAGCAUGUGGUUUAAUACGACGAUACGCGUGGAACCUUACCAGGGUUUGACAUGCUGGUGGUACUUCUUCCGAAAGGAGGGAGGACCCUUUCCAGGGAGCCAGCACAGGUGUUGCAUGGCUGUCGUCAGCUCGUGUCGUGAGAUGUUGGGUUAAGUCCCGCAACGAGCGCAACCAUCGUCCUUAGUUGCUCGCUCUUUUUGGAGAAGCACUCUAAGGAGACUGCCCGUGUUUUAGCGGGAGGAAGGCGGAGAUGACGUCAAGUCAGUAUGGCCCUUACGCCCUGGGCUACACACGUGCUACAAUGGUCAGGACAAAGAGAAGCAAGGCCGCAAGGCGAAGCAAAUCUCAAAAACCUGGUCUCAGCUCGGAUUGCAGGCUGCAAUUCGCCUGCAUGAAGCUGGAAUCGCUAGUAACCGCAGAUCAGCCACGCUGCGGUGAAUACGUUCCCGGGUCUUGCACACACCGCCCGUC